UCUAAACUGUUGGGUCGCCGUCGU
RNAcentral lists this non-coding RNA (24 nucleotides) under Mus musculus (house mouse). Lineage: Eukaryota; Metazoa; Chordata; Mammalia; Rodentia; Muridae. The record is from RNAcentral.